AGUGAACGCUGGCGGUAGGCCUAACACAUGCAAGUCGAACGGCAGCACAGUAAGAGCUUGCUCUUACGGGUGGCGAGUGGCGGACGGGUGAGGAAUACAUCGGAAUCUACUUUUUCGUGGGGGAUAACGUAGGGAAACUUACGCUAAUACCGCAUACGACCUACGGGUGAAAGCAGGGGAUCUUCGGACCUUGCGCGAUUGAAUGAGCCGAUGUCGGAUUAGCUAGUUGGCGGGGUAAAGGCCCACCAAGGCGACGAUCCGUAGCUGGUCUGAGAGGAUGGUCGGCCACACUGGAACUGAGACACGGACCAGACUCCUAAGGGAGGCAGCAGUGGGGAAUAUUGGACAAUGGGCGCAAGCCUGAUCCAGCCAUACCGCGUGGGUGAAGAAGGCCUUCGGGUUGUAAAGCCCUUUUGUUGGGAAAGAAAAGCAGCAGGUUAAUACCCCGCCGUUCUGACGGUACCCAAAGAAUAAGCACCGGCUAACUUCGUG
Molecule: ribosomal RNA, 492 nt
Filed under: uncultured bacterium
Lineage: Bacteria
Description: partial 16S ribosomal RNA
Rfam family: Bacterial small subunit ribosomal RNA
Source: RNAcentral